GCUAGCAAUGCACGCCUGUGGUUCAGCCGGCUAGUCCUGUGCGUCGUCGUGUGGCGGAUCCGAACGGACCGUUCGCGGCGACGGCGCUGGGCGAGCUGUGGUGCACUCCAUGGGCAUGCGCGUCAGCGUCGGUUCUUAGCGAGUGAUGAGGUGCCGGGGGAAGGUGGCUCGCCUUUUCGGAGGGGAGUGUUAUAGACCCUGGUGCUGGGCUCGUUGUGGACCGAGGAGAGAGAUGAUCGCUGCGGCACCUGCCUCUCGGGGCUAGCCAGCUGUUGUCAGAUGUGUGUCAGGCGUUGAGGACUGCACGCAGUGCUUGGUGUCUUGGCGUGGUCUGGUGAUGGUGUGGGGUAUAGAGGUGCCUAGGACGCUGGCGUCCAAAUGGCCGUGCGCGACCCGUCUUGAAACACGGACCAAGGAGUCUAACAUGUGCGCGAGUCUUAGGGUGUGCAAGCCCUCGGGCAUAAUGAAAGUGAAAGCCUAGCGUUGGUUGGGCUUAGGUGAGAGCCGCUGCUGGCCUGAUGCCACGGCGGCGCAUCAUCGGCCGGUCCAUCCUGCUCUCAGGAGGAUCCGAGCAAGAGCGUAUUUGUUGGGACCCGAAAGAUGGUGAACUAUGCCUGAAUAGGGUGAAGCCAGAGGAAACUCUGGUGGAGGCUCGUAGGGAUUCUAACGUGCAAAUUGAUCUCAAAAUUUGGGUAUAGGGGCGAAAGACUAAUCGAACCAUCUAGUAGCUGGUUCCCUCCGAAGUUUCCCUCAGGAUAGCUGGAGCUCGUUAACACAGUUUUAUCAGGUAAAGCGAAUGAUUAGAGGUCUUGGGGGUGAAACACUCUCAACCUAUUCUCAAACUUUAAAUCGGUAAGAAGCGCGACUUGCUUAAUUGAAGCCGCGCAAUCAAUGUGAGCUCCAAGUGGGCCAUUUUUGGUAAGCAGAACUGGCGAUGCGGGAUGAACCGAACGCUCGG
Molecule: ribosomal RNA, 958 nt
Filed under: Sycon raphanus
Lineage: Eukaryota; Metazoa; Porifera; Calcarea; Leucosolenida; Sycettidae
Description: eukaryotic LSU rRNA
Rfam family: Eukaryotic large subunit ribosomal RNA (bases 328-958)
Source: RNAcentral